Molecule: ribosomal RNA, 497 nt
Filed under: uncultured bacterium
Lineage: Bacteria
Description: partial 16S ribosomal RNA
Rfam family: Bacterial small subunit ribosomal RNA
Source: RNAcentral
GAUGAACGCUGGCGGCGUGCCUAAUACAUGCAAGUCGAGCGAACGGACGAGAAGCUUGCUUCUCUGAUGUUAGCGGCGGACGGGUGAGUAACACGUGGAUAACCUACCUAUAAGACUGGGAUAACUUCGGGAAACCGGAGCUAAUACCGGAUAAUAUUUUGAACCGCAUGGUUCAAAAGUGAAAGACGGUCUUGCUGUCACUUAUAGAUGGAUCCGCGCUGCAUUAGCUAGUUGGUAAGGUAACGGCUUACCAAGGCAACGAUGCAUAGCCGACCUGAGAGGGGGAUCCGCCACACUGGAACUGAGACACGGUCCAGACUCCUACGGGAGGCAGCAGUAGGGAAUCUUCCGCAAUGGGCGAAAGCCUGACGGAGCAACGCCGCGUGAGUGAUGAAGGUCUUCGGAUCGUAAAACUCUGUUAUUAGGGAAGAACAUAUGUGUAAGGAACUGUGCACAUCUUGACGGUACCUAAUCAGAAAGCCACGGCUAACUACGUG